UUUUUUAAUGGUUUAUCUUCACUCUUUCUUUUGGAUUUUCGAAAAAGGCCAGAAAUUCUGCUUUUCAAUGUGGUUCUUUUUCUGCAGAGAAAGUAGCCCUAGAUAUACCUGCCUGCUGUUUCUUGAGUUCCUCUUUAUCCUGGUCAUUGCUCACUGAGCUGCUUCUAAUGGGUUUGUUCAUCUUUUACUGUUGGAGAUUUAUAGCCUCAGAGGCAUACCUAUCUGUACCCUCCAAGUACCUUAGACUAAAACAAAAUUGUAUCUAACUUUCAUUUUUCAUCACAUACUACAAAUAUAAUCUAGACUACGAUAUUUCAGAAGAAUUUCUCACUGAAACGUUUGAAAUGCCUUACAAAACUAGAUGUGAAGAGGGGCCAUGAGAGUCUGAGCUCUGCUGACCAUCUGAAAAGCCUUGCCAGCCUCUGAGAAAUUUCAGUCAUAGACAAAGUCUUUAUUAGUAAAGCAGAAACUGCUGAAAGUUGUCAAUUAAUCUCGUAUUGUUUUGACCAGCCUCCCAAAUUCAAAAGAAACUAGUUGCACUGGAAGCAGUGCUGAAAGAAGUAACCUCGCUGUAAGAUCUUCUGGCAGUACUUACUCAGCAGAGAUGAAUAAGGAGGGAGAACAUCAGAAAGCAGAGGAC
Molecule: long non-coding RNA, 640 nt
Organism: Neopsephotus bourkii (Bourke's parrot)
Lineage: Eukaryota; Metazoa; Chordata; Aves; Psittaciformes; Psittacidae
Exons: 4
Source: RefSeq, a predicted model, not a curated record